GCCAUUUGCUGCAAAUUCCUCUGUAUCAACUCCUAGAGAAGCUAGUAUUGCCGUGAUGCGGAGCUCUUCGUAUACAAAAGAUAGUGAGGGGUUUGUGGGUGGUAAGGAGUUUGAACUGCCUCAGAGAGCAUUUGUGGAUGACCUAGAUAAGGAAAAUUUAUAGGAAAGUGGUAUAGAUAACUUUCUACUCUCUAGGUCCGUGGCUGGCGUUGAUGAAGAAUUGUCUCAACAAUCCAUAGAUGAUGCUCAAAAUGACAGCUCUGUAGUUGUUUUAGCUGUGGUGAAUAAUCCAAGGGUGAAGCCUUUUGCCCAUUUGGCUAUGGAUGAUGAUUUUUUUGAGGAGCUGGUUGCUGGUGAUGAGGAUAGUGAGUUUAAGAGCAAGAUGGUGUCUUUUCAUAUGUAGCUAAGGUUCCUGGUAGUGAGAAUCUUGGGAGAGUUGUCAGUGCACCCUGAAUUAAGUCAAUGGGUAUAGAAGAAGGGGAAGAGGAAUCAUUUCCUGAGCCAUUGCCCCUGUGAUUUUUUUAAUGCUUCAGAUUCAGGUAAAUUUAUUGGAGUUGAGGAUGUGGGUUUGAGUGCUUCUGAAGAGGCACGUUUAGUGACAUAUGAAUCAGUUGAAGAUAAGGGUCAUGAUGUUACACAGGAGACUCACUUUGAGUCCUUUCUGAAAGGUAAAGAAUGUGAUUUUGUGGUUGUUAAUAAUAGUGUUGAGCAAGAACCAGACUUGAAGUUUCUGCAGGGAAAAUUAUUGAAUUGAGUGGUAGUGAUGGAAGAAAGAACACGGUGCCGAAAUAGGAAGUGGAAAUCCUUUUGAUCAAUGUGGUGACAAAGGAAACCUGGAAAGAAAAAUCUAGCCAGUAGUUGAUAUGGGAGUACAGUCUUAUGAACCAUUGGCAGCCAUCUCAAUCAUAUCCAAAGAUGGUCUUAUUGAAGGUAGGGAAGUUCAGGAUGCGGACUGCGAGGCUUCAGAACCAAAUUCAACUCUACAAGAUAGUAAUUUGUCUUCGACUAAUGAGGGUGAUGAGGUGCAAGAAUCAAGAGUUAAAUAGUUCUGGCUCCUUUGAAUAUGUAAAACAAACUUCUACUUCAGACCACGAAGUAAAACCAGAAGCGGAAGAUGAUGUUCAAAGACAGGAAGAGAAAAAAGUUUACCUUUUAAUCAAGAAGUUGAUGAAUUAAUUUUUGGAAGUUCAGCAGAGGAUUUUCAAGAUCAGUCACAGAGAGUUGAGGACAGAUCCUCCUGGACUUGGUUGAUGAUGUGGGCACUGAUAGGAAUUGCAAAGACAAUGAAUUAUUUGAUAAUGCCGUUUUGGCUGCUCUCUUGAAAGCUGCAACUAGUUCUGAGUCAGAUCAUGGUGGCCUUUCAGUUCCCUCUGGUUCCAGAUUAUUUACUCUUGAAAAUCCCUUUGGCUCAGUUUCCUCAGCUGCACCACUAAAUCUCAGAAAUGAUGUAUCAAAAGACGACUUCAGUGAUGAUGAAAAGAAGAGGAUUAAGAUGGUAAAACUCGAGAGUGAAAUUCUUGAUACUUGUUCAGAGAAAAGCCUACUCGCCAGAGAAUUCCCUUGUUGUACAAGUUUUAUACAAACUGGCUCUAGCUUUGGGGAGGUAUACUAGUGAAGUAUUUAGCCUUGAAUCAGCCAAAAGGGUUGCUAUGCAGUGUGAAGCAGAAGGUAAAAAUACAACCAUUAAUUCUAUUUUUGGAGAAGAGAAAACCAGUGUUAACACAUUUGAACCUGGAACUACUGUGAAACUUAUUGAUGGAAAUGUAGAUGGAGUUAAAGAUGAAAAUCCUUGACACACUGAACCUCAGAUCUCCUAUGGCAGAACAAACUAUCAACACGAGAAUAUUAGUUUCUAUAAAGAAGUUUAUAAAGCUCCCUCCAGGUGUUGUCCUUUAUGUUGAUCAAUUUGAUACCCAUACAAGAGAUUCUAAUAAUUUUCCAUUGUUAAGGUUAACCACUGGCUCUCUUGGUUCAUCACUAUGGCAAAAUGCUAUUGUGUGUUUGACUCAUGCUGCUUCUGAUCCCCCACAGGGACCAUUGGGGCUUCUGUUGGCUGUGAGGUUUUUGUUGCUCAAAUAUUCCAUGCUAUCCAGCGACAUUAUAGCCAAGCCUGUGGUAGUUUGCUUCUGAUGAACCCAGGUAUGAUGCAUCCAGUUUCUUAUUGAGAACCAUCCAUCCUUUCAAAAUAAUAGAUUUGGUAAAAGUGUUACUAGUUGCUUCUCAUUAAAGAUUUUAUCUGAAGCAAACCACUUUGCCAACACAUCAAGAUCUCUUCAAUUAUAAGAAGCUUUUUGUCUUCCCUCGUCCUGCAUAUCUGUCCUGCUUUCUUUGUCAUCAUUGUUUCAGUUUCACUCCCAUCCAAAACUCUCCACCGAUCAUGGUGGUGAUGAAGUUGACUCAGAUAAUGAAUUGGGUGAUUUAUCAGAUUCCAAACCAUAAGAUGAGGGUGAAUAGUACCAGUUUCCACCUUUCUAGCCUCUGAGGAAGUCUCAGGUUGCUAAGCUGAGCAAGGAGCAAAAGAAAUCCUAUUUUGAGGAGUAUGAUUAUUGGGUCAAGCUGUUCCCGAAAAAACAGUGGUUAUUCCUUCGUUGGUGAGGAGAAGUGCUUAUCCGUGAGCUAGAUGCUUAAACGAGCUAUAAACCGAACUAGCGACAAGCAGGUAGGAUAGUGACCAGGCCUGAUAUUGCUAGCCAGUUUCCUGGUGCAUUCAGAUUAACAAAGGAUAAAAAGGGACGUUUUGUCCAAUUAGAAUCCUCAGUUUCAGCGAAGCAUGGGGACAAAAGGAUCAGCCAUGGCAGGAUUUGACAAACAAACCCUUAGAAAGCAUAAGGCUGCUUACACUCUCAGAAGUGAAACAAAAUUCAGAACCUUCAAAAUAAACAAAACAUCUGCUGGAUUGUCAGUUACUUUAUUCAGUAAAAUUGCGGUAACUGGACCCUAAAAUUGAGGAUAUGAUUACUGUUGGAAGGGGCUUAGUAUUGGUAGAUGAUACAGCGUAUGGAGCCAACCUGGAACAGCACCAUAAGGAUAAAGAUUUUCUCGUAGAGCAGGACAAUUCCAGCCUAAGCCUGUGGCUUAUGAAUUGGAGAGAUGACCUAACUAUGGUGGCCAACCUACAGUUUCAGUUCUGCAUUGGAUUGGUAUGUUUUGGAUUGAAGGCCAAAAAUUGUAAAAUUAAGCAGCUCAGAGUAGCUACCAGUACCACUUGUUAGCAUUCUUCAUUUGUAAGCUGCUCCUAGUAGUCCUAGUUCUCAUGUUCAAUUUUGUUCCAUCUGCAAAACGCAGAAGUUAUUCUAGUGGGCCUGUAAUAUUAAUGAGAUGGAACCUAUUUUGAAUAGAUGUGCAUUUCAUCA
Molecule: long non-coding RNA, 3353 nt
Organism: Mangifera indica (mango)
Lineage: Eukaryota; Viridiplantae; Streptophyta; Magnoliopsida; Sapindales; Anacardiaceae
Exons: 2
Source: RefSeq, a predicted model, not a curated record